UGCCAGGCAAUAUAUAGAUCUCUCGGCCGCAGCGAUAAAAUCCCACAAACGCACUCUCUCUGUCUCUCAUCCGUAGGCUGCACACAUUCAAUCAAUCUAACCCUAAUUUACCGAGAAAGUCUCCAAUUCUCUCCGUGGAACCAUGGGCGAAGAUCUAACCGAGAUGAGAUAUUUUUCCCAUAAGAUCUCUCUCUCUCUCUCCAUCUCUAAUCCGAAACUGUUUGUUUAGAUUUUUCAUGUGAUCGAUCUGUCAUAAUGGUUAAUUUGUCAAGGUGAUGAGACAGUGGUCUUCUGGAACUUGUAGAUUAUCCAAUCCCUAGUGGUGCCGUUCGUGACUCGAUUUAUCCUAAUAUCGAAUUAGCUCUCCAUAAAAUGGGCUUUCAUGGUAGCGUGUCAAUCAUGGCCUUUGGUGACGACAAACAUGACUUGAGCAGGGCCAGAAUGUAUAUAAGGAAGUAGACGGGGAAUUACCGGGUGAUGGUUGUUGUGUGAGGAGAAUGCUGGUACAACCAUUUCUUUCUGUAGACUCAGUGGUUGAAUCUACAAAAGUUUUAGGUGGAGUAAAGCCUAUAAGCGGAAUGCUGGUACGUUAUUAUGAUGUUCUAAAUGAUAAGCGUAUUGAGGAGUAUAAGACCACCUGUUAUUACUGUCACUGUGAUUGUAACGCUCCUGGUGCUGUUGAUUUGAGUUAGAUAUUUUGUCUUCUGUCAAAAGUAAUGUAUGAAAUCAUUCACCAAUGUUUCAUCUUUCUUCUUCUGUUUCUGUUAAAACUCUGUUGUUUUUGGGUUCAAAAUGAGAUUUGCAGUUUUAUUACCU
Camelina sativa (false flax) is the source of this 816-nucleotide long non-coding RNA. RefSeq lists it as uncharacterized. Lineage: Eukaryota; Viridiplantae; Streptophyta; Magnoliopsida; Brassicales; Brassicaceae. The record is from RefSeq and is a predicted model, not a curated record.